Molecule: long non-coding RNA, 217 nt
Filed under: Physcomitrium patens
Lineage: Eukaryota; Viridiplantae; Streptophyta; Bryopsida; Funariales; Funariaceae
Description: long non-coding RNA (PPAT_LNC005525)
Source: RNAcentral
AUCAUACUUACCACGCUUAUAGUUGGAUUGUCACACCAUAUACAUCUUUCUACAAAUUCUUUUGAGCCUUCAAUUGUCUUUGAUGAACUUGCCAUUUAGAAUUUUUUCAACUUAGUCAUUUCCAUCUUCAAAUCUUAUAUGAUUUUGAUCAAUUCUUAAAAAGUGUCAUCUUUAGCAGUCUUGAUUACCUUUCAAAGUUACACUAGAUUUUAAGAUG